GGGGCCGUAGCUCAGUUGGGAGAGCGCAGCGUUCGCAACGCUGAGGUCAGGGGUUCGAAUCCCCUCGGCUCCA
Molecule: transfer RNA, 73 nt
Filed under: Gemmatimonadota bacterium
Lineage: Bacteria; Pseudomonadati; Gemmatimonadota
Description: Gemmatimonadetes bacterium tRNA-Ala
Rfam family: tRNA
About the family: Transfer RNA (tRNA) molecules are approximately 80 nucleotides in length. Their secondary structure includes four short double-helical elements and three loops (D, anti-codon, and T loops). Further hydrogen bonds mediate the characteristic L-shaped molecular structure. tRNAs have two regions of fundamental functional importance: the anti-codon, which is responsible for specific mRNA codon recognition, and the 3' end, to which the tRNAs corresponding amino acid is attached (by aminoacyl-tRNA synthetases). tRNAs cope with the degeneracy of the genetic code in two manners: having more than one tRNA (with a specific anti-codon) for a particular amino acid; and 'wobble' base-pairing, i.e. permitting non-standard base-pairing at the 3rd anti-codon position.
Source: RNAcentral